RNAcentral lists this ribosomal RNA (276 nucleotides) under uncultured prokaryote. Its description in RNAcentral is "partial 16S ribosomal RNA". It matches the Rfam family "Bacterial small subunit ribosomal RNA", at positions 524 to 800 of the family's 1533-position model. The record is from RNAcentral.
UACGGAGGAUGCGAGCGUUAUCCGGAUUUAUUGGGUUUAAAGGGUGCGUAGGCGGUCUUUCAAGCCAGAAGUGAAAGGCUACGGCUCAACCGUAGUAAGCUUUUGGAACUGUAAGACUUGAGUGCAGGAGAGGAGAGUGGAAUUCCUAGUGUAGCGGUGAAAUGCGUAGAUAUUAGGAGGAACACCAGUAGCGAAGGCGGCUCUCUGGACUGUAACUGACGCUGAGGCUCGAAAGCGUGGGGAGCGAACGGGAUUAGAUACCCCUGUAGUCCCUGA